This is a non-coding RNA of Amphiprion ocellaris (clown anemonefish), 732 nucleotides long. The record is from the annotation of a RefSeq genome assembly. NCBI's taxonomy places the organism in Eukaryota, Metazoa, Chordata, Actinopteri, Pomacentridae.
GCUUCAUAUGUUCUAUGCAAACUCCAUGAGCGUCCAGCUUUAAAAACAUCAGACUGUCAGCAAAGUUCACAGCACAUCAGUUUCACCUCAAACCAUGUUGUCUGUAGCUCUACUGCUGCUCUUUGCAGCUGCAUCCUGUGUGAAGUGUGAACAGUUGACUCAGCCAGAAUCUGUGACUGUGCAGCCAGGUCAACGUCUCUCCAUCACCUGUCAGGUCUCUUAUUCUUUGAGCAGCUACUACACAGCUUGGAUCAGACAACCUGCAGGGAAAGGACUGGAAUGGAUUGGAAUGAUAGUUGGAUCUACAACACACUACAAAGAUUCACUCAAAAGCAAAUUCAGCCUUUCCACAGACUCUUCCAGCAAAACAGUGACUCUGAAUGGACAGAAUAUGCAGCCUGAAGACUCUGCUGUGUAUUACUGUGCCAGAGACACACAGUGACACAAAUGAUCAGUAGACCUGAACAAAAACCCCUCAGAGCCUGAACACUGUAACAUGAAGCCACCAGAGGAGGAGCCCUCAGACCAGGAAUGAUUUUAAGAACAGAACACUGCUAUUCUUGUCAUUUUAAUUGAAUUGACACAGCAACUCUUUCUUCAGCAGUGGAUACAGAAUGAUCCAGUUCUUAUUACACUUUUGGUUUAUUAUAUUUGUGGAGGAAGGAGUCCAGGUCCUGCAUCCUUUCAGGUUGGUAAAUGGGCCUGUUGUUGUUCCUGCAUCCAAACUGUGGA